Elaeis guineensis (African oil palm) is the source of this 721-nucleotide long non-coding RNA. RefSeq lists it as uncharacterized. The record is from RefSeq and is a predicted model, not a curated record. Lineage: Eukaryota; Viridiplantae; Streptophyta; Magnoliopsida; Arecales; Arecaceae.
AAAUGUAGUUGGAGACCAGCAGCUGGGAUUUGGUUGUUGUUGAAUAGUUGGGUCAUGGAUAGGCCUGUAGCAGUUUGCUUGCAGGUGAGGCAAGCUGAUCUGCUCGACUCCUCGGCUUUAUAAAUUCACUCAGGGCAGCCUGAAAGCAAUUCAUCAUCAUCCCUCCUUGUUUGCCUGCUUUCUUCCUUUGUGGUCUUUUUUCUUGUUAGAAGAUCAAGAUGGGACCUGGUGGUCCAGGAGGACCUGGUGGCCCUGGUUGGUUUCCUCUGCCUGGUGGCCCCCCAGGUUGGGGCCCUGGACCUGGAGGACCGUUCGGAGGACCUGGCUGUUGUGGCCUCCUAGGCUCAUGCUUUUACUUCCUUUGCUGUUGCUGCUUGCUGCAAGAGUGCUGUGGACCCUUGAUUGGUGGGCCUCCAGGCCCCCAUGGACCGCCUGGACCGUUCUUUUAAUCUAAGCAGUCCAACCAAAUGAAAGGCACACAUGCAAACAAAUAAGUAGAUGUAGAACAGUAAAGUGCUUACAGCUCUCUUAUGUCCUUGUUCCUAUGGGCCACUGCCUUAUUUUUGUAUCCUUCAUCCUGGAACGUACGCUGUAGUUUACUACCAUAGAGAUCUUCUAUGUCAGAUUACUUGUCAUGAAUGUAAAAAAUCCAACCUUUGUUCCAUUGGAGAGUUUGCUUCUUUGUCAAUAGUAUUGAAUGGCUCAACAAUUGACAUCUGAA